UCUAGAACUCGAGAUAUGGGCUGAACACUGAACAAUGUCUGGGCUGCGGACAGAUUCUGACUUCCCAGUUAUUGCUAAGAUUUGGACUUCCAAACAGCAGAAUUGAGUCUUGGACUCCUCAUGAAUGUUUUAGGCCUAUGUAUGAGCUUUUUAGC
Molecule: non-coding RNA, 155 nt
Organism: Populus trichocarpa (black cottonwood)
Lineage: Eukaryota; Viridiplantae; Streptophyta; Magnoliopsida; Malpighiales; Salicaceae
Source: Rfam